GGGUUGUGAGGUUAAGCGACUAAGCGUACACGGUGGAUGCCCUGGCAGUCAGAGGCGAUGAAGGGCGUACUAAUCUGCGAUAAGCGCCGGUAAGGUGAUAUGAACCGUUAUAACCGGCGAUACCCGAAUGGGGAAACCCAGUGUGAUUCGUCACACUAUCAUUAACUGAAUCCAUAGGUUAAUGAGGCGAACCGGGGGAACUGAAACAUCUAAGUACCCCGAGGAAAAGAAAUCAACCGAGAUUCCCCCAGUAGCGGCGAGCGAACGGGGAGGAGCCCAGAGCCUGAAUCAGCAUGUGUGUUAGUGGAAGCGUCUGGAAAGGCGCGCGAUACAGGGUGACAGCCCCGUACACAAAAGCGCAUGUGCUGUGAGCUCGAUGAGUAGGGCGGGACACGUGGUAUCCUGUCUGAAUAUGGGGGGACCAUCCUCCAAGGCUAAAUACUCCUGACUGACCGAUAGUGAACCAGUACCGUGAGGGAAAGGCGAAAAGAACCCCGGCGAGGGGAGUGAAAAAGAACCUGAAACCGUGUACGUACAAGCAGUGGGAGCACCCUUUGGGUGUGACUGCGUACCUUUUGUAUAAUGGGUCAGCGACUUAUAUUCUGUAGCAAGGUUAACCGAAUAGGGGAGCCGGAGGGAAACCGAGUCUUAACCGGGCGUUAAGUUGCAGGGUAUAGACCCGAAACCCGGUGAUCUAGCCAUGGGCAGGUUGAAGGUUGGGUAACACUAACUGGAGGACCGAACCGACUAAUGUUGAAAAAUUAGCGGAUGACCUGUGGCUGGGGGUGAAAGGCCAAUCAAACCGGGAGAUAGCUGGUUCUCCCCGAAAGCUAUUUAGGUAGCGCCUCGUGAAUUCAUCUCCGGGGGUAGAGCACUGUUUCGGCUAGGGGGCCAUCCCGGCUUACCAACCCGAUGCAAACUGCGAAUACCGGAGAAUGUUAUCACGGGAGACACACGGCGGGUGCUAACGUCCGUCGUGAAGAGGGAAACAACCCAGACCGCCAGCUAAGGUCCCAAAGUCAUGGUUAAGUGGGAAACGAUGUGGGAAGGCCCAGACAGCCAGGAUGUUGGCUUAGAAGCAGCCAUCAUUUAAAGAAAGCGUAAUAGCUCACUGGUCGAGUCGGCCUGCGCGGAAGAUGUAACGGGGCUAAACCAUGCACCGAAGCUGCGGCAGCGACACUGUGUGUUGUUGGGUAGGGGAGCGUUCUGUAAGCCUGUGAAGGUGUGUCGUGAGGCAUGCUGGAGGUAUCAGAAGUGCGAAUGCUGACAUAAGUAACGAUAAAGCGGGUGAAAAGCCCGCUCGCCGGAAGACCAAGGGUUCCUGUCCAACGUUAAUCGGGGCAGGGUGAGUCGACCCCUAAGGCGAGGCCGAAAGGCGUAGUCGAUGGGAAACGGGUUAAUAUUCCCGUACUUGGUGUUACUGCGAAGGGGGGACGGAGAAGGCUAUGUUGGCCGGG
RNAcentral lists this ribosomal RNA (1457 nucleotides) under Salmonella enterica. RNAcentral's name for it is "partial 23S ribosomal RNA". It matches the Rfam family "Bacterial large subunit ribosomal RNA", at positions 1 to 1495 of the family's 2925-position model. Lineage: Bacteria; Pseudomonadati; Pseudomonadota; Gammaproteobacteria; Enterobacterales; Enterobacteriaceae. The record is from RNAcentral. RNAcentral also lists the same sequence under 1 other name.